Molecule: non-coding RNA, 651 nt
Organism: Heterocephalus glaber (naked mole-rat)
Lineage: Eukaryota; Metazoa; Chordata; Mammalia; Rodentia; Bathyergidae
Source: RefSeq, a predicted model, not a curated record
UUUUUUACUCACUCCUCAGGGCUGUGUCCUUUUUCAGUUCCAAAAUCGUCCCUGCUUUAAGUUUUCCAAAUCUCUGGGUGAUCUUGGUGUGUCUUAAAGACACUUUACACUAAUGUGGGGGUUCCUGAUUAUUAGGCCACAAUUUUCAUCUACUUUGUUCAAACAGCAUGAAAUGGAAGUGGAAGUACAACAUUUGCCUGAUUCUAGCUGUCAACAUUUUUAGGAAUCUAUCACCCUUCUACAUGGAGCUGAUCUGAGAUUAAAAUUCUGUGGGCAUCCAUCCAGAAAAACCAUGACAGGUUUCUGAGAGGACACAGUGGAGGAUGGAAGCCCUGGGAUGGAAAUUUCAGAAAAGCAGCUGCUGCUCCCAGAAGAACUAAAGCUGUGUGUCCACUGACAAAGAAAGGAGGGGACUCAGUCAAUUAUUUGGAAAAUCUGAGACAAGCCUGUACUGCACAACGCACAUGAGGAUGCAGGGCUGCUCCAGGGAUCGAACUCAGGACCUUGUGCUUGCAAAGCAGGCUCGGAGCCACUGCUGAGCUAAAUCCCCAGCCCUGAAUUAUUCUAUCUUUAAAGCAAGAAAUCCCACUGAACUUCUUUCCUCAACUUUGCAUUUGGUACCAAGAAACUAAGUUCUUCAAUUAUUUGUAU